CGCAGCCCCCGCGGCCGCAGCAGCAGCAGCAGCAGCAGCAGCCGCCCCGGGCGGCCUCCGCUAAGCGGUUCCGGUUCAGGCGGGCGGUGACGCCUCCGCGCCGGGCGGGCGGCGGCAGCGGGGCCGUGCUCGCCCCCCGUGCGUGUGGGUCUGCUUGCGCCUCAACCGCCCGCGGUGCUGAGGGGGCGCGGAGGGGCCGGGCCCGCUGCUCUCAGGCGUCCCCGAAUCGUACUGCGGGUGCGCGCGGCUGUACAGAACGUGGAAGUAUGGCUGUGUGCUGCGAUCACACAUUGCAAAGAAAAAAAAAGGUUAGUUUUCAGCUAGCUUCAACGUCUCCUUGAUGUGAACGUACUCCAGUGGGGUGCAAACCAAAGCGUUAAAGAAAUAUUGUUUCUUAGAACUCUGUUGAGCGUGGGCUCCUGUCACUAAUGUUGCAGUAACGUAAACAGGACCGUGGUGAGGCCCUCUGUGUCUGAGUAACACAAGUACGUGCAGCAUCUUCUGUGUCAGUGUCUGCUGUGGUUUGCCUCCCGACAAAAGGAUAUUCAGGAUUUGCUGGUGCUCUGCUUCAGAAGGACCAUUCUGUAUAGGAUGUAGCAUCUCACUACCACAUAGUUCACUGCUGCUGGGCACGCCCUGCCCUCAGACCAGGCCGUGGCAUAAGCUCUGCUCACCUCGCCUGCUCAAAUAAAUCUCCGGUAGGCAUCAGCAGCAACCAGGAAAUUUCAAACACAAUUUUGUCAGAAUCAAAUCUUAGAAUAUGAAAUGGAAUAAUGUUACUGAGAUGUCCAGUUUGCCACAUCUCACUAGGGCUGGAGAGACUCCUGUGGAAGAAUUCCUCAAUUGCCUGCCUCUCAUCAAACAAGAUAAGCUAGACAAGACAUUUCCUUCAUUGCAAAGGAACUGUUUAAACCAAGUGUUUUAAAGAGACCAUUCUGAAGUUUAAGAUUAUGGAUUUGCCUGAGGGGCUUUAUGCAGCAGCUGAGGAACACUAUAAAGCAUCUAAAACUCAGGCCCAGACUGGUCAUCACUGAGAUACCUGUGUCUACAAAGGGCUAGCUCCUGCAUGAAGAUACUUUUUAAUCUGUAGCAUCUUCACUAUACAGAAGACAAUGUACUUUUAUAGGUUAAAUGUUAAUGAUGUGACUCAUUAAAUUCUGUGCUUGAAAUCUUCUUGGUACAUCAUCAAAAGCUGUACAUGAUUCAAACCAGCAGAUGCGGAUUACUGCUUUGCUUAGAUGCAGUUUCUAUCUAUUUGGGAUAGAAAGAAGUGGUAAAUGUUGUUUAGCACCAAACUACUUUCUGCUUGCAAACCUAAUGAUACAGGAAGCACAGGUUUAAAAAAAAAUCCAUUAAAAUAAACAAUUGGUGAUAACUGGAGCUUUGACUCUGGUUAUCUUUCAUACACACACAGAAGUUUGUCAUAGAAUACCUUCCCCACACUGCCACCUAAUGUUUAACAGGAGUCCUACUAAUACUUUAGGCAUUAAGUCUAAAAUGCCAUUUUGCCAAAUUUAUCAGUUAAUUGUUGUAUGGGAUUUUAAGCAAAAACUUUGAAUGAUCAUGCCUGUGUCCAAAAUGAAAAGUGAUCUGGCUGGCCAACUGAAUCAUGACCUAAACUCGGUUAAUUGUAAUUCCUACAUUUAUUUUGCUCAUAAUACUGACAUCCAAAUCAACUGGAAUGGUGGUGAUGAACAGCCGAGGGAUAUUAGUUAUCAACCCUCUGAUAAUAUUAUUUAUUAGUACUUAUGUUCAUUACUGCAAUUCCAAAUCCAGUGGCAGCAAAACUAUCUUGAUUCCGACCCAACCAAGAUGGCAAAACCUUUUACUGUGUUCCUCAAGAGGAUACGUUGCCAUAUCACGUCUCAGUCUUCACUCAGAUGUUCACCCCUAUGGACUGCAGGGACUGAUCCCGUGGUACAUUUCUCCUUUGCUUAGCUGUUGAUUCUUCAAGGAUUAAGGCAGCCUUCUCUUUCCUGGAGGGAGUAAUCCAGUGCUUGCCAAAAAACAUCCUUCCAGCCAUGUCACAAGCUAUCUGAAGCCCUUCCAAUGCCUACUCCAACCACUAUGCUGUCAGCAGAGGCAGCUGGAGGUACUUGGCAAAAUGAUCCUGCAGUGACUGUUCACAGCAAAGACAUCAAGUCUUAGCAAGAUUCAUGUAAUGUAUGGAGCUACUGCUUAGUGUGACCCAACUUAAAAUAUUCAGAUUGCUUAUCUUGUUUCUUAGAAAGUAAGCAGCAUUUCUGAAUCAGAGAGAAAUAUGUAAAGAGUAAAUCAUUAUUUUGAAUACAGAGGAAAG
RNAcentral lists this long non-coding RNA (2299 nucleotides) under Gallus gallus (chicken). The record is from RNAcentral. Lineage: Eukaryota; Metazoa; Chordata; Aves; Galliformes; Phasianidae.